This 214-nucleotide long non-coding RNA is filed under the name Mytilus galloprovincialis (Mediterranean mussel). Lineage: Eukaryota; Metazoa; Mollusca; Bivalvia; Mytilida; Mytilidae. The record is from RNAcentral.
UACUUUACAGUUACUCGAGCAAGUCCUUCUGUAAUCUCUGUACAGUCCCCUCCACUGUAAAUUAGUUAUCGCACUACAUUUCAUAUGGAAGGCGCAGUUAUUGAUACGAUAUCUCAAUGGAUUGCCUUUUUCAAAUGUUCCUAUAAAGAUAUUAACAUUUAUUAGUUGAAUGAUGAACAUAUCAAUAAAUAAUCAGUACCAUAUAAGCGCUCAA